RNAcentral lists this long non-coding RNA (5459 nucleotides) under Sus scrofa (pig). Its description in RNAcentral is "lncRNA (ENSSSCG00025004198.1)". Lineage: Eukaryota; Metazoa; Chordata; Mammalia; Artiodactyla; Suidae. The record is from RNAcentral.
UUUUCCCACUGUAAAGCAAGGGGGUCAGGUCAUCCUUAGAUGUAUACAUUGCAGUUACAGUUUUUUCCCCCACCCUUUCUUCUGUUGCGACAUGAGUAUCUAGACAUAGUUCUCAAUGCUAUUCAGCAGGAUCUCCUUGUAUAUCUAUUCUAGGUUGUGUCUGAUAUACUUCAAUAAAAUAAAUUUUUAAAAAGAUGUCUACUGAAAGGAAACACCUAAACACAAUACGCACUAUAUUUUUGGGGUUUUUUUUUUUUGCUUUUUUACGGCCACACGCAUGGCAUAUGGAGGUUCACAGGCUGGGGGUCUAACUGGAGCUAUAGCUGCCGGCCUACACCACAGCCACAGCAACUCGGGAUUUGAACUGAAUGCUCAACUUACACCAUAGCUCACGGCAAUGCCAGAUCCUUAACCCACUGAGCGAGGCCAAGGAUCCUCCACCCCAAGUCUUCAUGGAUACUAGUCAGGUUUGUUUCCUCUGCGCCACGCAGGAACUCCCACAAUACAUCAUAUGAAUCUCUGGAAUAAAACAUGGGAUAAAAUCUCUGAAAUAGAAUGGAGAGGAAUACAUCUACUCAAAGAAAAGUGGUCUUAAAAGACUGAAUGAUAGGUUACUUAUCUCUGUGCACUUAACAUUGGUAUAACAACAAGUGGAUCUAAUGAGACGAAGUGAUGUGUUUUUAUCCCUAUGAAUGAAGUGUUUAUGAACACAAAUGCCUGUAUCUGGAGUGUUACUAGAAUACAAGCAAUUGCACCUAUUAAAACGAAAAAUUCAGAGACAAAACUUAAUGAAACAUUUUUCCCCUAUGAAUGCAUUGCUGGCAGAUCAGAAAUAAGCAUCUGCUGAAACAAACUGCCAUAAGCAACACUGAAUGAUGUUUUGUAUCUCUAUGAACGGAGUUUUGAUAAACCAAAAUGAAUACAUCUACUUAAAUAAGAAUGGUUUACACAAAAUCUAAGUUUACUUGGGAAAACUAUGUUAAAAAAAAAAACUGAAUCAGUGAGUUCCCACUGUGGCUCAGAUGGUUAAGAACCUGACAUACUAUCUGUGAGGAUUGGGUUCGAUCUCCAGCCUAGCUCAAUGGCGUAAGGAUCUGAUGUUGCUGCAAGCUGUGGCACAGGCUGCAGAUGCAGCUUGGAUCUGGUGUUGCUGUGGUGUAGGCCAGCAGCUGCAGCUCUGAUUUGACCCCUAGUCUGGGAACUUCCAUAUGCAGCAAGUGUGGUCAUAAAAAAGAAAAACAAACUGAAUUAGGCAGUUCUCUUGUGGAGCAGCAGGUUAAGGAUCCAGUGCUGCCACAUCUGCGGCACAUGCCACAACUGCACAGGUUUGAUCCCUGGCCUAGGAACUUCCAUAUGCUGCAGGAGCAGCCAAAAAAAGAAAAAAAUUUUGAAUUAUAGGAGUUCCAUGAUGGCUCAGCAGGUUAAGGUCCAGUGUUGUCACUACUGUUACUCAGGCUGCUGUCACGGUGUGGGUUUAAUCCCUGUCCUGGGAACUUCCGCAUGCCCCAGGUAUGGCCAAAAAAUUGUUCUUAAUUGAAUUGUUAUGCAUCUCUAUGAAAAGAGUGUAGAAAAAUAUCUUCAAUGAAAGGAUAAAGCAAAACAUAAAAGUGCAUGCUAUUAUCUAUGGAUGGAGUGUUCCAAAACAAAAAAUUUAUCACUAUCUUAAAUGAAAGAAGUAAAUACAAAACUGACAGAUUUUUGGUUCCCUUAAAUACCCAUCCCUGGGUCCUGUUAGAAGCCAGACCCCCUGGCACAGCUCACCUCAGAGAUAAGAGUCAGUUAAGUGAUAAGCCCAGGGACUGCCUGGGUACAUUCACAGCACUCGAGCCCUCCGGGCAGUCAAAACACCACCCGUGGUGCUUUCUUGUAACAUGCCAUCAGGAAACCACCUACACACACAGGCGCCGUCACAUCCUGUCACAUGGCCCCUUCAGGGGAUCAAAUUGCCAGUUCAGAGAUCAUCUGGUCAAAGUCAUGUCUGUCUGGCUAGGAUCAAAGCACUGAACUAAAGCUCUCUCCAGGUCAGUCCCAUUCUGUAAGUGCAACCUCCCAUCCACUAUCCCACAUCCUGCAUCCCUGCCCCUCAUCAACACGAACUCGCCCUACCCAGAGGACUAUAUGUUCCAUGAAAUCAGUCAGACACAGAAAGGCAAAUACUGCUAACGAUCUACUUGAUAUGGAAUCUAGAAAAAUUAAAUUCAGAAUUCCCUGGCAGCUUACUGGUUAAGGAUUCAUCAUUGUCACUGCUGUGACUCAGGUUUGAUCCCUGGCCUGGGGAACUUUUGCAUACCAUGGGGAUGGCCAAAAAAACCCCAAAAAGUUAAAUUCACAGAAACAGAGAGUAGGGUGGUGGUUGAGGGAAAUGGGGAGAUGUUGGUCAAAGGGCCCAAACUCAGUUACAGGAUGUGAAGACCUAACAUACAGCCUGGUGAGACUGUCAUUAACAAUAAUGUAUUAUAUCCCUGAAAUCUGCUAAGACAGUGGGUCUCAAAUGUUCUCAUCAGACACACACAAUGGUAACCAUGUGAGGUUGAUAGGGAUAGAGCAGGAUAAUUAAAUAGUUGAGAAAUCCCAAUAGGGGAUUAAAGAUAGAAAGGGAAUUUUAAGAAUUUGGGAGACCUUUGUAAGCUAAUGACCACUCAAGAAAAGAAUCCAGUAACCUAGCAACAAUCUGCACUACCUUAAAGGAGGAUCAGAUGCAUUCGAGUGCCAGGCACACCCAAGCCCACACAUCCCGAUAGUUAAAGCACAAGACAAUAGAUGUGGGGUCUGCAUCUUCUUAUGCAAAGUCAGGGAGUUAGCGGUCCUCGAAGAGCAGCAUUUCUGCAUGUAGCCAAGAUAGGAAUACAGGGGAAAGGGGAAAGAAACUCCAUGGUAGGGGACCUUACAGAGAAACUUGAGGUGAAUUACCUUAUUUUAGUGUACCACACUUGGCGUACAUGCGAUUUAAUAGCUAUGAUGGUCCUGGUUAGGCCAUAUAGGGUUAAAGAAGGAACUGAUGAGGUAAGUCUUAAUAUCUACCCAAGAAUGCUCACUCGCCAUUGUUCCUUUGAUUGUAAAAAUGUAGCCCUCUUUGAUCUCGGGGGGCGGGGGGGGGAACCUGUGGUUCUCACAAGCAUCCGAUGCUAAUAAGCCUACUCUGCCUGCCACGUUGCCUCAUGCUGAAUUCUUUCCACACUGAAACUAGAGAACCUGAGCUUCAGUAAGUCCAGCCACCAGGUGAGUGGUUUCACUUAAAAGACAGGGGUUUGAGUUCCCUCCUUAGUCAGGGAUCUUGGGUUCAAGUCCCAAUCUGAGGGGUGGCUGAGGUCGAGUCCUAUCUGAGAAGGACUUCAGUGAUGGCCAUGUUAAUCAGCUUCACUGCGGUAAACAUUUCACAAUAUAUACAAUAUACAUCAAAAUAUCACAUGGUGCACCUUACAAAUACAAAUAUAUAUAGUUUGUAUUUGUCAUACGUAUACCUCUAUAAAGCUGGGGCACGGACAAAGAAAUACAAUGCUGAUGUGCCCCGACCCUUUCCAGACAACCUGCUCUCCUAUCCUGUUCCUGGCACCACGCUCUCUACUCUUCCUGCUGAAAUGUGCAAAUCUCACAUAAAGUCCAACAGCUGACUCUUCUCUCAAUCUCACCCGAUUCUCAGUGCUAUUCUUAGCUAACUAAGCGUUAGGAAUACAGCAUGCAUGAACCCUGCCCAGAGGGGCCUGCGUUUUUUAAAAGGUACUUUUUAACCCAAAUAAAUCUUUAAUUCAAGGGUGAGUUGUGUUUUUGAGUGUUUCUGUUUGCAUGACAGUCCUCACAGAGGACAGCAAUACUAGGACUCCCUUCUAUGAAGUGGCCUAAAGGAGCUUCCUGGAGUUUCCAGUGUGGUUCAACGGGUUAUGAACCUGACUAGUAUCCAGGAGGACACAGGUUUGAUCCCUGGUCUGCUCAGUGGGUUAAGGAUCCGAUACUGCUGUGGCUGUGCUGUAGGCUGGCAGCUGCAGCUCUGAUUCAGCCCUUAGCCUGUAAAAAGAAAAGAAAAAAAUUUAAAAAAGGAAUGGCUUCCUUUUUGCUUCCCUAGCUUCCUCACUGAAUCCCCAGACACUAUUAUGGGUCGAUUUAUCUUGGGAAGUUUAUUAAAAACACAGAAUUGGAGUUCCCAUUGUGGCGCAGCAGAAACAAAUCCAACUAGGAACUAUGAGGUUACAGGUUCGAUCCCCUGGCCUCAGUCAGUGGGGUAAGGAUCCAGCAUUGCUGUGAGCUGUGGUGUAGGUCACAGACGUGGCUCGGAUCUGGUGUUGCUGUGGCUGUGGUGUAGGUUGGCAGCUGCAGCUCCAAUGAGACCCCUAGCCUGGAAACUUCCAUAUGCCGCAGGGCCUUUGCACUUGCUGUUCUCUCUGCCUGGCACACUUGUUCCCACAGCUCCCUCCCUCACCCUCUGUGGGCUUUGCUCAAUGACACCCUCUCGGGGAGAUCUUCUCAAGUUCUGCACCCAAUUCCAGUGGGUGCAGUGUUCCCCACCACCAAGCAACUCCCCAGACACCAGCUGGGUGCUCUACAAUUUGACUGACAACUAACCCUAUUGCUACCAAGCCAGGUUCAAUUUCCCCAUGUGCAGCCAGCCAACUGCUAAGAUGCUGAGGUUUGCAGCAGAGAAAGACUUUACUCACAAGGCAGCCAAGUGAGGAGCCGGCAGAACACGCCUCAGACCUGCCUCCUUAAAGGCGAGGUGUUUGGGUGUAUAUGGGAUAAAGACGCAGGGUGGCCUUAGCCAUGGGGAAGGGUGACGGGACACAGGGGGAAAAGGUGAGGUAAUCAGUGUCCCGAAAAGGCCUAUGAGUCACGUGUUUCUUCCUGAGACACGUGUUCAAAAGUGGAGGCAUUAGCAUGAUCUGAGGGUGGAGUUUGCAGUCCUCUGAUAUCAAAAAGUCAUUCAUCCAACACCUGCCCACGCCCAGUUUUAGGCUCGGUGGUCCCAACCAGUCUCAUCGAAAAUGAGCAGAGCCCUGUAGGGCCACCCCACUCGCAGGCCCCUUCAUGUGUUCUCACCUCCCAGCUUAAAAAAAAAAAAAAAAAUUCAAACUUUUAGUUUCCCUGGCCUCUCAAGUUUCAGAAAACAGACUCAAGCAAUUAAUCAUUUAAGAAGAGGCAAAAGCAGGAACUAAGAAAAGGCAGCUGAGCAAGGAAGGAGACAACAACUUAAGCAAUAAGUAAAACUCAAGCAUCAGGGUCAUAAGGCCCCAGUUCUCCUCGAGAAAAACAGAUAACAAGGUCUGACGCAUAUUCUUAAGUGUUUCUUACAGAAAUCAGACUCCUACAAGGGGGAAACUGCUGACCCUAAACCUGUAGACCACUGACUAGUUGGAGCUGGAAAACUGAUGAGAGAUUCCUGACAUACCACUACCCUCUACCAAUCAGAAAACCGUCCGUGAGGAGCUCCCUGGUAGUCUGUUGGUCAGGGCUUAGCACUUUCACUGCUU